UAUUUUACUAUGUCUUAUAACAACUAUUGAAUUUGUAUAAAGAAACCGUGUGCUUUAUACUUUAUAAAUUCAUCAAAUCCUUUUUAUUUUUUCAUGCAAAAGGGAAAUAAUAUGGUUAAAGUUAUUAAGUUUGUUUAUAUUACGAUCUACUUUCUUUCACUAUUUUUCAUUGCAAAGAACGAUGCCACCGGUAAGUCAUUGUUUAUUAUUUUAAAAUUUUAUUCUUAACUUAUUACCUAACCUUUUAUCCCCUUGAAUUACUAACAUUUUUAUCUUCUCUUUUAUCAUUACAGCAAUUCAUGAAUGUCGUGCACACUCUCAUUGUGUAGCAAGAAUUAACUGUGUGCUUCCUCGAAAACCGCAAUGUAGGAAUUAUGCAUGUGGUUGUUAUGAUUCAAAUAAAUAUCGCUGAUGAUAAAAUGUUCUAUGUGUAGGAAUUACACAUGUGUUUGUUAUAAUUCAAAUAAAUAUCGUAAAUGAUACAAUGUUCUAUGACAUGUCAAUGUCAAGUUCAUCAUGUUUUGAAGGGAAAACAACAACAAUUGCUUAUGGACAUCUGGACGUAAGAGUAAAGUUCUCUCCGGUAUAUCGUAAUGCGUGUUCUAAGGUGUUUGGAUGCAGACAAAAAGAUGACAUAAAAAAAUUAUCGAUUGGAUCAUGAGUUCAUCUUUGCUCUAUUUAAGUUUCCUCAAUUUAUUCCUUUUCACUUUAUUGUUGUGUGACAUGUGGCAAAUGUAAAAACAAGGGUUGGGAUUAAAAGCUUUGGCAUGAGCACUUUUUUAAUGAAAAAUAAAAUACACCCUUUUCCAACAAAACACACACUUUCUCUUUCUUCUUUCUCUGGAACAGAAACACGCUUCUUCUUCUUUCCCAGAAACGUACAACACUCUUCCUCCUCCUUCCUCUCACCAUCAUGGUUGCGUCUCCCUGUGACCGGUGCCGCCUCCACCGCCGUUCAUCACCCUCCGCUGCAGCGAUCUCCUCCUUCUCCACAUACAGCCUCACACAACUCGUCGUCGCAAACUUCGCUGUCGACAACGUUUUUUUUCUCUGCAAAUCGCUUAUUUAUUGCUGUUCUAAAUCAAAUUAUGAGAAAUUUGUAAAAGCUCAAUGAUGAUUUAAUUGAUUUACAAAUAAGUGUGAUUCAAUUCAAAGAUAGUGGUUGUCUUGAUUCACCGCGGUUCUGUUUGCGACGACGAGACUGAACGACAACGUUUGCGAGAGUGAAAGGGUGAGUGGCGAUGGUGCUGAUAGGAGGAGGAAGAAGAGAUCGUGUUUAUUUCUGGAGAAAGCAUGUGUGUUUUGUUGGAAAAGUGUAUUUUAUUUUUCAUUAAAAAGUGCUAAUGCCAAAGCUUUUAAUCCCAACCCUUGACUUUAAAUUUGCCACAUGUCACACAUCAAUAAAGUGAAAAGGAAUAAAUUGAGGAAACCUAAAUGGAGCAAAGAUGGUUUCUUGGAUCAUAUAUCGCACAUUAUAGGUCAUUUGAUAUUUAAUUUUAAAUUACAAUAUUAAAUUAAAUUUAAAAUAGAAUACAAUCGCGAGAUUUUUUGACAUUUCAUAGAAUUUAUUUUAUCUAUUAGAAAUUUGUAUAUUUUGCUUUGAUAUAGAACCAAAUAUGGAAAGACAUAAAUUGCUGAGUAUUUUGUUUUGUCUUAUUGUUUAUUCUCAUGAAUAUGAUUAACUAAUUUUAUAUUAAUUUAGUUUUUAGUUGAUUUUAAUUUGAGCACUUAAAUCAUGUGAUUGUAUAAACUCUAUUCAAUACAAUUAUUAUCCUAGUAUUAUUCAGUGAAUUUUUUCUUAAUACUUUUCAUAUAUUGAUGAGCUCUUGAUUUGGACAUAGUACUUCCUCCGUUCCAAAUUGUAUGACGUUUUGGGCAUUUCACAUAUAUUAAGAAAUGUAAUUAAUAUUGUGUGGGAAAGUGAUAUUAUGAGUUGCUUUACAAAAUUAUCCUUAAUAAAUGAUAUGGGAAAGAUAAAUGAAAGAAUUGAAAGAAGAAAGAGUAAAAUAGUUAAGGAUAUAAUAGGAAAAGUAACAUUAACGUUUCAUUUGUAUUGUAAAGUGACAUACAAUUUAGGACAAAUAUUUUUUCUAAAGUGACAUAACAAUUUAGGACGGAGGGAGUGUAAUGUUUGAUCUAACAUUUCAAUUUAGGGAUUAGGGUGUUGUAUAAUUGUAGAGACUAUGUGCAAUUUACCAAACUGCAAGAAUUAAUUGAUUCGAAAUAUUUGAUCACUUUAAUCUUUGAUGUUUUCUAAAACAAAUUAUUUUUAUUUUAUUUUUUGUUAAACUGAAAUAUAUGCUCUACAUACCCCAUUUGUUAAAUCUUAUUAUAAUUAAAUUUCUACGUUGAGAUUAAAACAAUCCAUGCGGAGACAAACUUAUAAAUCUUAUUACUUCGAUACAUUUUUAGUAUACUUGCUACAAGUUUAUCAAUCAUAAUUGGGUUAACAUCUUAACUAAUUAAACUAACCAAUUCAAGUAAACUCAUCUGUAGUCACAAUUUGCAAUUCCUAAUAAAUAGAAACAAAUUAAACCACAUAAUAAAACUAUUCAGUAGGAAAAACACAACAAUGUAAUGUUAAAGAAGAAAAAUAGACUAAGUGAAAAAGAAAACUAGCUAAGUUAAAACUUAUAAAUUAGGUUAUUUCAAUUUUGUUAAGGUAAAAGCAACACGUUCAUAUAUAUAGGGAGAAAAACAUUAAUGUGGAUAUAUAGAAGCUAUUCUUAACAUAUUUAUUAUUUAUUUAUAUUUUGAUAAAAUGAAAAGUUGAAUUCUGAACAUAUUAUUUUCAUUUAGUUUAGUUGACGUAAAAUCUAUAUCUAUAUAGAAGACAUAUUCAAAUAGCUAGCCUUUAUUUUUAGCACCAGCAAAUUUAGUUUUCUUGAUGUGGACAUAAAGCAUGCAUAAUAACUUUCUGCAUUCAAAACACAACAACACAUUAUAACAGCUAAAGAACCAUUAAUUCAAAAAUAGCAAUUUAAUAUUUCCAUAUUCACCUUCAUCAAAUUUAAUAUUUCUCAUCCACUUUUUCCGCUUUUUCCAUUGUUGUUCUCCCAAAAUUAAAGAGACUGCAGGAAGGAACCAUAACCAAAUAAGCACGCCUAUUUUAUGCUGGUAUGAAUCUUUACAAACAUAUGAAAAAUAUAAAAAUUUAAUUUAAUUUCAUCUUAAAUUUUGUACUUGGUUAGCAACCAUAACCCCGCUUCAUAUGUUUCCAUGUGGAUACCUACUCAUUGUUGUGUAGGUAGAUGAAAAGAUGGAAAUAUUUGAAGAAGAGAUAGAAUUUUAAGCUACAGGGUUAUUUAAAUUUCAUUUUUACACUCCAUAGAUAUUUUAUUUACGUUAUUAUGAGGUAAUCGAUGUAUGGAUCGACUAGCAUAUAAGUUACUUUAGAGUGAAUUUCGUACACUAUGAAAUAAUAGUAAGUUUCUCGAUCUUUUAAUUAAGCAUUUCUCUUUUUAAUUAUGUUAAUUUCACAUAUUUAUUAUAUGAAAACUUUUAUGUUUGUGAAUGUUUCAAAUUGAAAUUUAUUUUCUUGUAUUUUUUAUUAGAUUCUAUAUUUAAACUCAUCUCAGGAAAGUGUGUCACAUGUUACAAAAUUUUAUUCUAUUUUUUGUAAUUUUCCUUUUUCUAUCUCAAAACGGUAAAUUAAAAAUUAUUUUAUAUAAAUGAAUUUUUUUUAGGUGACCUCCUGUUUAAUUUUGUCCAUGGGACAAACAUAACGUAACACUUCAAUGUAGUUAAGAGAUAUUUUACUAAGUAUUAUAACAACUAUUUAAUUUAUGUAGUUAAGAGAUAUUUUACUAAAUCUUAUAACAACUAUUUAAUUUGUAUAAAGAAACCGUGUGCUUUAUACAUUAUAAAUUCAUCAAAUCCUUUUCUAUUUUUUUCAUGCAAAAGGGAAAAAUAUGGCUAAAGUCACUAAGUUUGUUUAUAUUACGAUCCACUUUCUUUCACUAUUUUUCAUUGCAAUGAACAUUGUCGGUAAGUUAUCAUUCAUUGUUUUACAAUUUUUUCUUUACUUCUUACCUAACCUUUUAUCCCCUUUAAUUACUAACAUUUUUAUAUUCUCUUUUAUCAUUAC
RNAcentral lists this long non-coding RNA (4087 nucleotides) under Medicago truncatula (barrel medic). Its description in RNAcentral is "long non-coding RNA (MTRU_LNC007121)". The record is from RNAcentral. Lineage: Eukaryota; Viridiplantae; Streptophyta; Magnoliopsida; Fabales; Fabaceae.